RNAcentral lists this ribosomal RNA (522 nucleotides) under uncultured bacterium. RNAcentral's name for it is "bacterial SSU rRNA". It matches the Rfam family "Bacterial small subunit ribosomal RNA", at positions 791 to 1315 of the family's 1533-position model. The record is from RNAcentral.
UAGUCCACGCCGUAAACGAUGAUCACUCGUUGUAUGCUUAUAUUUAGUAUGCGACCGAGCGAAAGUAUUAAGUGAUCCACCUGGGGAGUACGUCGGCAACGAUGAAACUCAAAGGAAUUGACGGGGGCCCGCACAAGCGGUGGAACAUGUGGUUUAACUCGAUGAUACGCGAGGAACCUUACCUGGGCUUAAAUGUAGAACGAUUUUUGCUGAAAGGCAAUUUCCCUUCGGGGCGAUCUACAAGGUGCUGCAUGGUUGUCGUCAGCUCGUGCCGUGAGGUGUCGGGUUAAGUCCCAUAACGAGCGCAACCCCUAUUGUUAGUUACCAGCGGAUAAUGCCGGGGACUCUAGCGAGACUGCCACCGUAAGGUGAGAGGAAGGUGGGGAUGACGUCAAAUCAGCACGGCCCUUAUGUCCAGGGCUACACACGUGUUACAAUGGCCGGUACAGAGGGCAGCUACCUGGUGACAGGAUGCAAAUCUCCAAAAACCGGUCUCAGUUCGGAUCGGAGUCUGCAACUCGA